AUGGACCGUCUCCGGGCGGGGAGCCCCGUCUACGGGCGGCAGCGCAGCGGCAGCAGCACGGGCUCCACCUCCCCGGGCGGCGUCUCCCCCUCGCACCACCGCUCCUCCUCCACCUCCUCCGCGGCCUCCCUCCCGGGCGCCGGCGCCGCGGGCGUCGGGGGCAUCUCCAACGUGCGCCGCACGCAGAACGUCGCCGCGCGCGCCGCGGCCGCCAGGCUCGCGCAGGUCAUGUCCUCCCAGAGCGCCGCCGCGGCCGCCGGGGACGACGACGACGAGGACGACUACGCCAACGACCACCCGCCCCCGCCCCCCGCCAGGUUCGGCAGCGGCGCCCGCGCGGGGCACGGCAGCAACGGCGUCUCCCUGCUCGGCCGCACCGCGAGAUCUCCCUCCCCUGCGUUAGGUCGGAACAUUGUAGAGCCGCCUCCUACAGUCCGCUCAGCAUCAGCCGGGAGGACAGCCGCCAUUGCAUCACGACCGACCGCCACAGUGGUUCCACCAAUCAAAACCAGCACUACGAUCCGAACCCCGUCUCCUAUCCCGCCUGUGGCUGUGGAAUCUCCAGUGGAGCGCCCUCGACAGAAAAGGUUUGAUACAGCCCCACUUAACUCUAGAGAAUCAGCGCCACGGAGAGAGUCAUCUACGCUUCAAGAUGAGCUUGAUAUGCUACAAGAGGAGAAUGAAAGCGUUCUAGACAAGUUACGGCGUGCUGAAGAAAAAUGUGAGGAAGCAGAAGCUAGGGCCAAGGAGCUUGAGAAACAGGUAGCUGCUCUCGGAGAUGGGGUAUCCUUAGAAGCUCGCCUCUUGAGCAGGAAGGAAGCGGCACUUAAACAGCGGGAGGCUGCACUAAAGGCUGCAAGGGAAUCAAAUGAUGGUAGAAAUGGAGAAGUAUCAACAAUAAAGCAUGAACUUGAGUCUGCCAAAGAGGAGGUUGCAGCUGUUAUGGACCAGCUAAAGGAGGCAGAGUCCGAGACAAAGGCUCUCCGGUCCAUGACUCAGAGAAUGAUCUUAACCCAAGAAGAAAUGGAAGAGGUUGUCCUAAAAAGGUGCUGGCUUGCACGUUAUUGGGGCUUAGCGGUUCAAUAUGGAGUUUACCCCGAGAUCGCGGUGUCAAAGCAUGAACAUUGGUCAUCUUUAGCCCCUCUUCCUCUCGAGGUUGUUCUCUCUGCUGGUCAAAAGGCUAUUAAGGAGCAGCCUCGUAAGCAAGAAUUCAUUCAAGCAGGUGAGGAUGAUGCUCAGAGGAGAAAUAGGCUUGUGCGAGAAAUGAGUGACGUAAUGGGAGAAGGCAACAUUGAGAGCAUGCUCUCAGUUGAAAUGGGACUUAGGGAGCUUUCAUCUUUGAAGGUGGAAGAUGCUGUUGUGGUUGCACUUGGUCAACACCGGAGACCUAGCAUAGUUCGGCAAUUCACAUCAGAUUAUAAAUCACCUGGCGAACCUAAAUUCUUGGAGGCAUUUGACCUUAGCAACGAGGAGGCGGAGGAUGUUAGCUUCAAGCAUGCAUGGCUUAUAUACUUCUGGAGAAGAGCCAAAACUCAUGGUAUCGAGGAAGAUAUUGCUGACGAACGGCUUCAGUUUUGGAUUGCUCGCAACGCGGUUGCUCCAAAUUCUCAUGAUGCUAUAGAUGUGGAGCGAGGUCUGACAGAGCUCAGGAAAUUGGGCAUAGAGCAGCAGUUGUGGGAGGGCACACGUGCAGACAUCGACGAAGCUGCCUCAGCAGCGAUGGAGGACGAAUAG
Molecule: ribosomal RNA, 1734 nt
Filed under: Triticum aestivum (bread wheat)
Lineage: Eukaryota; Viridiplantae; Streptophyta; Magnoliopsida; Poales; Poaceae
Description: partial small subunit ribosomal RNA
Source: RNAcentral